UCUCUUGCCCCCUGAGACGAGACCAUGCACUGAAACGAAAAGGGAGGAAGGAGGGAGAGGACGACAUAGCAUCCCCCCAUGCACUCAAUUGAGGAUGGAAGAAAAGAAUUAAGCGGAGAGAAGAG
Molecule: non-coding RNA, 125 nt
Filed under: Chromera velia
Lineage: Eukaryota; Chromeraceae
Source: RNAcentral